GUGCUGGCUUCAGCAGCACACAUACUGAAGUUGGAAUGAUACAGAGAAGAUUAGCAUGGCCCCUGCACAAGGAUGACAUGCAAAUUGGUGAAGCAUUCCAUAUUUUA
Vulpes vulpes (red fox) is the source of this 107-nucleotide small nuclear RNA. The record is from Ensembl. Lineage: Eukaryota; Metazoa; Chordata; Mammalia; Carnivora; Canidae.